UGCUAGGNGUUUUUCAGGUUUACCUUGC
RNAcentral lists this non-coding RNA (28 nucleotides) under Mus musculus (house mouse). The record is from RNAcentral. Lineage: Eukaryota; Metazoa; Chordata; Mammalia; Rodentia; Muridae.